Molecule: ribosomal RNA, 256 nt
Filed under: uncultured bacterium
Lineage: Bacteria
Description: partial 16S ribosomal RNA
Rfam family: Bacterial small subunit ribosomal RNA
Source: RNAcentral
UACGUAGGGGUGCGAGCGUUGUCCGGAAUUAUUGGGCGUAAAGGGCUCGUAGGCGGUCUGUCACGUCGGGAGUGAAAACACGGGGCUUAACCCCGUGCCUGCUUCCGAUACGGGCAGACUAGAGGUAUGCAGGGGAGAACGGAAUUCCUGGUGUAGGCGGUGAAAUGCGCAGAUAGUCAGGAGGAACACCGGUGGCGAAGGCGGUUCUCUGGGCAUUACCUGACGCUGAGGAGCGAAAGUGUGGGGAGCGAACAGG